GUCCCGGCGGUAACGAUGGCACUAGGUGUCGGAGGUAUCGACCCUCGGUGCCGCAGUUAACACAUUAAGUGCCCCGCCUGGGGAGUACGGCCGCAAGGUUGAAACUCAAAGGAAUUGACGGGGGCCCGCACAAGCGGUGGAGUAUGUGGUUUAAUUCGACGCAACGCGAAGAACCUUACCUGGGCUUGACAUGCAGUGGACCGGGUUGGAAACAACCCCUCGGCUUCGGCCGUCGCUGCACAGGUGCUGCAUGGCUGUCGU
This 261-nucleotide ribosomal RNA is filed under the name uncultured bacterium. Its description in RNAcentral is "partial 16S ribosomal RNA". It matches the Rfam family "Bacterial small subunit ribosomal RNA", at positions 793 to 1055 of the family's 1533-position model. The record is from RNAcentral.